Astatotilapia calliptera (eastern happy) is the source of this 1156-nucleotide long non-coding RNA. The record is from Ensembl. Lineage: Eukaryota; Metazoa; Chordata; Actinopteri; Cichliformes; Cichlidae.
GGCGACUCAAAACAUCCUGAAAGUCUGCCUGCCUGUUACAUUGUUUGCAAAAUGACACGGGUCAAUAGGCAGAUCUGAAACAGGGUAAAAAAGGAAGAGAGAAAACUGCUUUUACUAAGUUUGUUUUUGCUCUUUUUUUUGUCUUUUUUAUCCUUUGUUUGUUUGCAUUAUUUGUGCUGGGAUUUUUCUAUUCUGCACCUCCUCGUCCCUCAUCGUGCUUUUUUGGCUGAGCUACAAGGUGUUAAUGAAAGCGUUUCAGGCAAACAUGUUGAUUUUUGUUUCCAUGGGGAUCCAGAAGGCCUCACAAUGUCACAGAGGCUUCGGCCAACAGACUGGCGAAAAGCACUGCUGUCUCUUUUUUUCCGCCCCUCUUUUAUUCGCUGUUUCUUCUUCUCCACUCUCCACUCUCCAUUUUCUUUUCUUCUUUUUUUUAAAUGAAUUCUUUCUGUUGGUUUAACUCUUCAGCCUCCCCCUCUGUGUCUCUGCCUUUACCGUUUGUUUUCGCUUAUCCGUCUUUUUAAAGCAUCUCUGUUUCUUUUUCGCUGCCACUUUUUCCUCUCACUCUUUUUUCCUCUUCCUGACCCUCUCUACUCCGCUUACCCCCUUUCUUCUUUUGUUGUCAUUUAUGUGUGAAGAGCACUGAUAAAUGAAGACAAACACAGCAGUGUCUGUGUGUGUGUGGGUGUGUGUCUGAGAGACGGACGCCAGCUCUCUGAUAUCAUUGUUAGCCUCUCCACCUCUCCUCACUCCACUGCACAUCCAGCUACAGGCUUUCUUCCCCCCUCCUCUCCAUCCAUCCAGGCCCCGAGCCAAGAAGGCAGCUUUGGGGGCCAAGUCAGGCCAGGAUGGAGGCUUCAUUGUGGGGCUGCAGAGGGCGUUGGUGCUGGAGGAUGAGGACCGGGGAUCCAGGCCAAGUCCCAGACCCAAGACCCUGAUCUGGCUUGCCAGUCAACCCACUAAAGGGCCUUCGUGGCUGGGCACAACAUCAGGACAAGAGGGGAGGAGCUGGAGGCUGGAGGUCUCAGCAGCGGUAAUGGCGGUGGCUAGAUUAAGACCUUCUCUUAGAAUCGGCACAAUGGAGAAGGUCUACAGCGAAGCUCCGCGCAGACACACACACACAUGCACACAUACACAACGCCUCUAUUCAGCUUCGUCC